GUCUGUGACCAUAUCAUCCUGGAUGUGCCUGAUCUUGUCUGAUCUCAGAAGCUAACCAGGUUGAUCCUGGUUAGGAUUUGAAUGGGGGAAAAGCAGCAAAGAAAAAAGUGGCAUGGCUC
Molecule: ribosomal RNA, 119 nt
Filed under: Colobus angolensis palliatus
Lineage: Eukaryota; Metazoa; Chordata; Mammalia; Primates; Cercopithecidae
Source: RNAcentral